RNAcentral lists this ribosomal RNA (854 nucleotides) under uncultured bacterium. RNAcentral's name for it is "SSU rRNA". It matches the Rfam family "Bacterial small subunit ribosomal RNA", at positions 524 to 1381 of the family's 1533-position model. The record is from RNAcentral.
UACGGAGGAUUCGAGCGUUAUCCGGAUUUAUUGGGUUUAAAGGGUGCGUAGGCGGACCAAUAAGUCAGUGGUGAAAUACAUCAGCUUAACUGAUGCACUGCCAUUGAUACUGUUGGACUAGAAUAUAAAUGGUGCAGGCGGAAUGAAUCAUGUAGAGGUGACAUUCAUAGAUAUGAUUCAGAACACCGAUCGCGAAGGCAGCUUGCAAAGAUAUUAUUGACGCUGAUGCACGAAAGCGUGGGUAGCGAACAGGAUUAGAUACCCUGGUAGUCCACGCUGUAAACGAUGAUAACUCGUUGUCGGCGAUAGACAGUCGGUGACUAAGCGAAAGCGAUAAGUUAUCCACCUGGGGAGUACGAUCGCAAGGUUGAAACUCAAAGGAAUUGACGGGGGCCCGCACAAGCGGAGGAGCAUGUGGUUUAAUUCGAUGAUACGCGAGGAACCUUACCUAGACUUGAACGUAAGAGUGAUAUAUAAGAAAUUAUAUAGCUAGUAAUAGACUUUUACGAGGUGCUGCAUGGUUGUCGUCAGCUCGUGCCGUGAGGUGUCAGGUUAAGUCCUAUAACGAGCGCAACCCCUACACUUAGUUGCCAGCAUGUUAUGAUGGGGACUCUAAGUGGACUGCCAGCGCAAGCUGCGAGGAAGGUGGGGAUGACGUCAAAUCAGCACGGCCCUUACGUCUAGGGCGACACACGUGCUACAAUGGCCGGUACAGAGGGCAGCUACACAGUGAUGUGAUGCGAAUCUCGAAAGCCGGUCUCAGUUCGGAUCGGAGUCUGCAACCCGACUCCGUGAAGUUGGAUUCGCUAGUAAUCGCAGAUCAGCCAUGCUGCGGUGAAUACGUUCCCGGGCCU